UCAGGUUGAGUAGUUCGUGCUUCCUGUCGGUUUAAGAGAAAGUUGAGAAGCUGGAUUGAAUGAUAUCAGUUGAGGGGGCUGCAUCACGGUGCCGUGUCCAAAGACAAUGGAGGCCGCAUGAAACAUGUUGCCAUAGAUUUCCACUUCGUAAGGGACCAGGUUGAGAAGAAGCAAAUAAAGGUAAGGCGCAUUCAUUCUGCAGACCAGCUGGCCGAUGCAUUAACGAAGCAUCUGUCCAAGAAGCUGUUUGCUGAGAUUAUUUUCAGAUCUUGCGGAGAAGAAAGUAAAUGACAGUGCCUGAAAUGUACUGCCAAAAUCCCAAGAAUGCUGUCUAUACCAG
This is a long non-coding RNA of Elaeis guineensis (African oil palm), 340 nucleotides long. RefSeq lists it as uncharacterized. NCBI's taxonomy places the organism in Eukaryota, Viridiplantae, Streptophyta, Magnoliopsida, Arecales, Arecaceae. The record is from RefSeq and is a predicted model, not a curated record.